RNAcentral lists this small RNA (181 nucleotides) under uncultured Escherichia sp. Its description in RNAcentral is "Enterobacterial sRNA STnc180". It matches the Rfam family "Enterobacterial sRNA STnc180". Lineage: Bacteria; Pseudomonadati; Pseudomonadota; Gammaproteobacteria; Enterobacterales; Enterobacteriaceae. The record is from RNAcentral.
UUUUAAUACACCACAGCAAUAACAAGUUGAGUUAUCUCAACACAAAGUAAUAACAAUGGUCACUACAAAUAUGAAAUACUGGUCCUGGAUGGGCGUAUUUUCUCUGUCGAUGCUCUUCUGGGCCGAACUUCUCUGGCUCGUUACUCACUGAUCUCCGCCCCCGCUGUGGCGGGGUUUUCUU